AUGUCUCUGCAUGGAGGUUUUUGCGUUACUUACCCCUACAGUAGGAAUAGGUGUCAGUCUGCCUUCUGGGACCCCAGGUGCUGUGGCCCUCCUACCUCUCUGGGUUUUUUUUUUUUUUUUUUUUCAAGAUGUAGAUUAGAACAUGUCCAAUUGUUCUUGGAAGAGAGUCAGAGGCAGAGUGCAAGCUGUAGGGAGCAGUGUGAGGGGAGUGCCAGGGCCUUACCCUGCCUGGAAUCAUGGGCUUGGCGGGGUGGCUGGGCAAAGCAGGGGUGGGAGAGCACUCCAGCUCUGUCUGGUUCACCCCACCUUGCUCCUGGCUGCUCUGCCUCACCCUGGGCCCAGCGAGAGAAAGGUCAGGUGUGUUUGCCUGAGCCAGGGGAGGAGUUUUGGGAAAACCUGUCUCCAGGCCACAGAGAAGGAAUGGCCACCUCUCUCCAUUAGUAUGAUUCAUUGCUGUCACAGCUGAGCUCCAGGGGGGCAGACUCAGCCGGCCCAAGCCAACCAGCUGUUGAUUUGAUGGGGCCAGCCCAGCCCCGGGCCUGGUUGCACAACAGUGGAGCACCUGCCAAGGCAAUGAUGGCAGAGCAGGUGAUGCUGUGAUCACAUGUCCUGAAGGACCUGGGUGGCGGGGACUGGUGGGGAGGGGCCCCCCUGCACUGUCCAGAAGAACAGAUUCCUACCUCUGAGCCAGGCUUGGAGGAAGUCUGGUGGAGCCUGAGGCUCAGAACAUCCCCGAGGUCCCCUCUGCUCUAACUGUGUGAGCUUGGAAAGACCCCAGCCUCUCUGUCAGUUUCCUUUUCUGAAUAAUCAAGUCCUUCCUAGCUUUGGGGUAAGCUGGGCCUCCUGCUAGCUGUGUAACCCUGGAAAAGCCACUUAAGCUUCAGUUUCAUCACCUAUAAAAUAAAUGCAUCAAAAUCUUUUCUGUUAUCUCACAGGGUCAAAGUGAUACAAUGGACAUCGAAGCUCCGUGACAAUUCUCCGUGUAGCUAUUAUGCUAUUAAUGUUGACAUUACUAUCCGUUUCCUUGUCUCCUCAUUCUCUGAUGGCCGGGUUCCUCUUGUCUCUGUUAGACUUGGGUUCACUUUCUGACCUGUUUGCAGACCACCUGCGGUGUCCUCUGUAAGAUGGGCAUCGCACAGCCUGCCUGGCUGAAUUGUUGGGAGGCUCUAAGCAGCAAUUUGGAACCAUCGAGACCCUGGAAUAGGUGGAAUUGCUGCCAAGUGUGGAGAGUGAGCACGAGGCUCAGUGCAGAUACAAACAUUUAACAGCUUACCCGACCUGAGGCCUCAAGGAGGCCAGGGACUUGGCAAUCUGUGCUAUAAAUGAAGAGAAUGGUGACACAGCCACAUGCCAGCCAUUCAAGCCAUGUCAGUGGCAUCCGGAAGGUCGUGGAGGGAAGGAAAGAGUAGCCAGGGGUGGGCUUGCUCCGCGAGGUCUUCCCGGAGGCGGCGAGCCUCAAGCUGCUUUUCAGAGGUGAGGGGGAGUUUGGUUACCAGAAGGAGAAAACUAAGAAAAGCUGGAAAGAAAUGGGCUCUGUGGUAGUUCAAGCCUGGACAUGAGUUCUGAGAACAGUCAAGAAUGCAUUUCUCUCCAGGGUAUUCACUGUGGGAGAGGUGGGUCAAAUGGGUUUGCCCUUGUCACCAGCUGGUGACCUUGACUCUUAGAGUACAUUGCCCUUUGGCAGUUCUCAGAACCUCUGUGCACCAUGGCUCAGGCCAUCUUGAAGCCAACACUUAAGGAAUGGACCCUCUGGGGCCCACCUCCUUCCAGCCCUGCCUUAUAAGACCCCUGUGACCUGGCACCUGCAACCACAGCAGGAGACAGGAGCCAGCGUUCCUCAGGAUUCAGGACUUCUGAGUUGCACGAAUGGGGCCUGGGAACCGCCGCUUUCCCUGCCCAGUGACCACAUGGGUUAUGCAGCUGAGGACUGACUUGGGCCGGGGGUCAUGGCUUCCUAGGCCUUCUGGCUUCUGCUUCAUUGCAGCCCUUUCCAGCUGCAAGUCAACACCAGGAGGAACUGAUUUGGGGACCUGGAGUUCAAGGCUGUAAACUCCCACAAAGGCCAGAGCCGGCGGAGCUGGAGAGCCCCAUUUUGGGAAGCUGGUGGUGAGGGCCUCUGCCUUUGAUCGCCAGGGAGACAGAGGUCAGCUGAAUUCCAGCCUAUUUCCUCCCUGCCCCACCAACCCCGCAAUGACCACCCCAAAUGACUGCUUUGAGAUUUAGGAGUCAGGAGACAAAAGGGAGGCCUGCUUGGGGGAGACAGGGGAGACGGAGGCCUCGCCACUGAGGGCACUGUCUCAUCAGCUGUGACAGUGCUGACGCAUCCAGGAGUGGGCGCUGCCUCUCCUUACCUCCCAGCAUCUCCCAGAGCUCUGGGUCUUGGAGAAAACAGGAGAGCACAGCUGGAUGCUCCUUUGUCUCCAGCCUGGAACCAUCAGACAAAGGAGGUUGCUUGGUUUUGUGUGGAGACGAAAGGGAGGCUGGAGAUGCAGGGUGAGUGGUGGCCAGCAGGGAUCAUGCCAGGGCAGGGUGCUCCCAGGAGCCUGCUUUAGAGAUCACUCCAACUGGGGACUGAGCCAAGGGAAGGGAUUGCCGUGAGUGUUCUUGUCUCCUGGGGGGACCAGUUCAGAGUAAGGAAAACACAGCCAUCAUUUUUUAGGACCUUCUCUGGCCAAACGCUCGACCUACCUUGUCUCUGUUCCCACAACAAUCCUGCAAGGUAGGUGUUAUUACCCCAUUUUCCAGGUGGAGAAGAUCCAGAGGGGUGCCCUUGCCCAGGGUCAGGCAGUCCUCAGCAAAGUCUCAGGAUGAAAGGGGAUUUAUGUAUGGGUGUGUCUGGCCCUCAGGGUGCCUUGCAUGGAGAUGUCUACGAGGAGAGACCCUCCUGAGCUGAGCUGCUCUCAGGAACAUGGGCCACAGGUGGAAGGGCCUCGACCUCUCUGCAGGAGAGCAGGUGUCUCAGAGAGGGGCUCCCUGUCCCAGUGCCAGCUAGGACCCAUGACCUGAGCUAGCUGGGGGAGGACAGGAAGGAAGUCUGAGAAGGACUUAAACGUGAGUGAAGCGAGAGGGGUGGGACCUGCUUGACUUAACAAAUGCCUGGGUUUCCCCCAAAGAACAAAUAGGACAAUUUCUGAAAAUUGUUGCAGGACUGGAGAAGGAAGGGGAGGUUAAGGGAGAGGAGAGGGGGUGGGGAUGGGGUGCAAGAGGAGUGAGAGAGAACCCUCUGAGAGGGACUCUGGGGGAGCUGUCAGCAAGGUGGGGGUUGCUGCCUCUGUGAGGGCAAAUCGGGUCUUGUGACUCCUCACAGGACAGGCGACAGCAUGGAAGGAGGCUGCCUGAGAAAAGUCCUGCGUCUGCCUGCAGCACGGGAGAAAUGAUUUCACCUCUGUCCUGUCCCCAUUUUUGCCUGAUUUUUGCCUGGGACUGAUUCAUUCACUUUAUAAAACUGGGUCCCAUGAUGUGCUGUUCCAGGCAUGGGGGAAUGAAGAAACAAACAAAAAUCCUUGCUCUUCUGGUGCUUAGAUUUUAGUUGGGAGAGGGACAAACAAGAUAAGGGAAACACAUACCUUAGGUAAGAACAAGUGCCACAGAGGAAAAGCCAGGCUGAGGCGGUGGGUGUGAACAUUUUUAUACAGAGAUGACCAGAAUCGGGGCUUUGGAGAAAGCCCUGAAGCUAGUGUGCACUGAGCAGCAAGCCCUGUGGAGGCUGAGCAUAUAGGAAGCGGGAACCGCCCGUGCAGAGGUCCUGGAGGGUGAGGGGUGUCAAGAAGGCUGGCAUGGCUGGAGCAGAGAGCAGGGCGGGGAGGUCGGGGACCAGCUCAGAGGUGCCUGGAGCCAGAUUAAGAAAGGCUUUUUGGCCGGGUGUGGUGGCUUACGCCUGUGGGGGACCACCUGAGGUCAGGAGUACAAGACCAGCCAACAUGGAGAAACCUGGCAAUAAAAAAAUACAGGCUGGCUGUGGCUCAAGCCUGUAAUCCCAGCACUGGGAGGCUGCUACU
RNAcentral lists this long non-coding RNA (3998 nucleotides) under Macaca fascicularis (crab-eating macaque). Its description in RNAcentral is "lncRNA (ENSMFAG00000051553.1)". The record is from RNAcentral. Lineage: Eukaryota; Metazoa; Chordata; Mammalia; Primates; Cercopithecidae.